Molecule: unclassified non-coding RNA, 519 nt
Filed under: uncultured Entrophospora
Lineage: Eukaryota; Fungi; Glomeromycota; Glomeromycetes; Entrophosporales; Entrophosporaceae
Description: SSU rRNA
Rfam family: Eukaryotic small subunit ribosomal RNA
Source: RNAcentral
AGCAGCCGCGGUAAUUCCAGCUCCAAUAGCGUAUAUUAAAGUUGUUGCAGUUAAAAAGCUCGUAGUUGAAUUUCGGGAUUGACGUGAUGGUCGUGCCUUACGGGGUAUGAACUGUUGCAGUCAAUUUCUCACCUUCUGGAGAAAUAUGGUGUCCUUAAUUGGGUGUCAUAUGGAACCAGAACUUUUACCUUGAAAAAUUAGAGUGUUUAAAGCAGGCUUAUUGCUCGAAUACAUUAGCAUGGAAUAAUAAAAUAGGACGGCAUGGUUCUAUUUUGUUGGUUUCUAGGAUCACCGUAAUGAUUAAUAGGGAUAGUUGGGGGCAUUAGUAUUCAAUUGUCAGAGGUGAAAUUCUUGGAUUUAUUGAAGACUAACUACUGCGAAAGCAUUUGCCAAGGAUGUUUUCAUUAAUCAAGAACGAAAGUUAGGGGAUCGAAGACGAUCAGAUACCGUCGUAGUCUUAACCAUAAACUAUGCCGACUAGGAAUCAGACGAUGUUAAUUUUUUAAUGACUCGUUUGGU